GUGCUUACCUGGCGGGAGAGAGAGAUGCCAUGCUCAGGAUAGUGGUUUUCCCAGAAUGAAUUUUAUCCACUGCACUCCGAGUGGGCUUGCCCCUACAACUUCACCAAACGUGAAAAACAUGACUCCAUAAUUUGUGGUUGUAGGGGACUAUGUUUGUGCUUUCAAC
Molecule: small nuclear RNA, 166 nt
Organism: Nannospalax galili (Upper Galilee mountains blind mole rat)
Lineage: Eukaryota; Metazoa; Chordata; Mammalia; Rodentia; Spalacidae
Gene: U1
Rfam family: U1 spliceosomal RNA
About the family: U1 is a small nuclear RNA (snRNA) component of the spliceosome (involved in pre-mRNA splicing). Its 5' end forms complementary base pairs with the 5' splice junction, thus defining the 5' donor site of an intron.
Source: Ensembl